UGCCCUGAACUUCCUGCAGCACCCACCAUAGAAUAACCCACCAACUCCAUAGGAAACCUCGCUUAUGCACCCAGAUCUGGUCUGUGAUUUGCUACAGAAAGACAAGAAAUGGCCUGUGGCUUCUUGCUAGCCUGCACUACCAGGCAAUUACUUUUCAGGAGUGGUGGGAAGCCAAACAAAUUCUGAACAUCCUUAUCUGGAACCUGUUUCAUGCAGAGAAGGCCUGCUUGUAAACACAACAGGACGUACAAGCUGAUGAGGAGAAGGCUAUCUUUUUGAACGUUGCCCCUGGGGGACUGGGAGGUCUGCUAGCCCUGGCUCCUCGGGCAAGACCACAACCCUCUAACUGGGCCUCACUUUCUGCUUUGGCUGAGCUGGGAACGGCCAGCAAGGGAGGAGUCGCGGGUGAGGGAGCACAUUGGCCUCCACCUUGGCAAUGCUGCUGUCCCCAAGGGAAAUGUUCCAGGGAAUGUCCUCAGCACCACAGAGAACUGAAAUCCUGGAGAAAACUGGCCUAAGGAGCUCAGAAAGGCCAAUAAAACUGGGGCAUUUGGGGAAGAAGAGGAAAUGGAAUGGCAUUAUUGGAUGAUUUAAAUGUGGUGUGUUGCUAUGGUUCCCAGCCUUCUUGAAAGUCACAGACAUGGUGUAUGGGCUGAAUUGUGUCUUCCCAAAACUCACAUGUUGAGUACAGUACUACAAAAUAUAUUUGAAGAGAUUUGAGUUACAGCACUACACAUUUGAGUUACAGUACUACAAAAUGUAUUUGAAGACGGAGCCUUUGAAGGGGUAAUUGAGUUAAAAUGAGGUCAUAAGGUGGUCCCUAAUCCAAGGCGAUUGGUGUCCUUAUAAAGAGAGAAGAUACCAUAGAAGGAAGACCCUGCGAAGAUAAAGGGAAGAGACAACCAUCUGCAAGCAGAGGAGAGAGGCUUCAAAAGAAACCAACUCUGCCAGCACCUUGAUCUUGGACUUCUAACAUCUAGAACCAUGAGAAAAUAAAUUUCUGCUGUUUAAGCCA
RNAcentral lists this long non-coding RNA (1015 nucleotides) under Homo sapiens (human). RNAcentral describes it as "HSALNT0367310". Lineage: Eukaryota; Metazoa; Chordata; Mammalia; Primates; Hominidae. The record is from RNAcentral.